Athalia rosae (coleseed sawfly) is the source of this 3968-nucleotide long non-coding RNA. RefSeq lists it as uncharacterized. The transcript has 6 exons. Lineage: Eukaryota; Metazoa; Arthropoda; Insecta; Hymenoptera; Athaliidae. The record is from RefSeq and is a predicted model, not a curated record.
UACGUUGAGAAAGUUAGCCCGAGAUCGAUGCUAUAAAUCCUCAUGUGAAUUGCCAAACGAUUAUCUCGCUGUGAUCCAGAGAUUUCUUUCCUUUCGUUUCUCGAAGGCAAUAUCGCCGCAUAAAUCGAUCAAUUUGAUCGGAACAACUUUUUCAACCGGUUAUAGCAGUCGCUACAUAAAUUAUUCGGUGAUCCUAAAAGUGAAUUAAGCGCCAUAUAUGUACUGCCUAUGGAUACGCUGGAAAGGGGAGAGGAUUCAUUAUACAUUACACCAGUUAUAGCGGGUAAAAUAUACUUCUUUUCUGUUUUUAAUUGGAAUUUAUAUACCAGGAGUGAUAUGGGAAAAUUUUCUAAACACGCUUAUUGAGUAUACUUGAAUUUUACUGCAACGGGAUUGCAAAGCGGUUUAUAAUUUGUCUCAAACGUUACUCAGCCACGAUAUGUACACGAACCGAUGGAAAAGUUAAACUUACGUUGGUUGAAACGGCACCAGACCAAAACGGGGAAAUGAUGUUAUGUUAUACAUUAUACAGCGUUUUAUAAUCGGACACGAAAGAUAAUUAAUGAAAUUAUCAGUUUUUCUUUCGUUCCGUACACAGUGGCGAGUCGAGCAUCGUGAAUUUCCAAAGGCUGUAGAAUAAGAAAAAUACGUGCAAAGUCUGGAGGUAUAUGUGAGAAUAAUAAAAAGUGGAUGACUCGAAAAAUAGGAAAACUAAUCGGCUGAAUCAUGUAUGAAUAUUUUUGUAGAAGUCGAGUUUUCAAUCGUUGAUAAAAAAAAAUCAUUUUUUUUCUCCAAAGAAUAAACGCGGGGAGCGGUACGCACAACAGGUGGCCUUCGGUACGAGGCAGUGCAGAUCAUAUGAUGUGACGAUUAUAGGCAGAUAUAUGUAAUCUGAACAAUAGCCUGCAAUAUAUGCUGCAGAUGUUACGCGAUGCAUCUGAAGAAUAAUUGGGAAUCGUCAUUUUACGUAACGAUUCGUGUACGACGGGUCACGAGAUUAUGGAAAUUGUAAACCAUAUAAAAAGCAACUAUAACGUUACGUACACGCGUAUGUAUUAUCGAUAUUAUGUCACCCAUGUAUUCGUAAAAUCGAAGACGAUUCACCGAUCUAUACGAUUAUGAAAAUUGAUCCUAAUUUUGGGUGUGCGAUUCCUUACCCUGAGUUUCAAUUUAUACCACGUCUUAAGAAAAAUCUGUUGAAAUAUGAUCGAUCUCAGCUUAUACGUGGAAUCCUUAUGAUCCUCGGCUUAUAGCUUGCCAAAUAUUCCAGAUUUUUUCAAAGACUCCGUAGACAUUCUUUUCCAAAAUUAUAAUCUACGAUUAAUUUAAUGCACGUAUGGGCCUGACGGAGGAAUACAAUGCUAAGUAUAUCGAUUAAGAAGAAAGCUUUCGAGCGAAAAGCGAUGGAGAAACUACGGUAAAUCUGAAAAGCGUGAGUUCAGGAGCCGGCUCGGUUGUAUGGCGACAGGUAGGUCGCAUCCUAUAGCAACUACCGUGAGAACGAAAUGGAAGUAUAAAGCGCCGGAUACCAUUUUUCCAAUGAAUAAUCUGUCGCUACCGCUGCGAUACAACGAAAAGGAGAAAAUCCACACACGGUUAUUUCCAACGGAAAAACCUCUGAACGCACAAAGGUGAACGAGACACUGGACACUCGGUGGUAUGCCGUAACGCACAAUUCGGCCUUUUAUAUACUUCGCACGCACUGAAAAAGCACUCCACAAACUACGACAAACUUCCUUCCAAUCGACUAACCGAGACACACAAACGAUUCGAAUACUCGCGAGAGUAAUUGGAGAUAUUGAACAAUGGGGGGCAAGUAUACGACGUAUACGCGUCCCUUCUGCGAAGGCGAAAGGACUAAAGAAGAUGGAGGUCAUGUGACGACGCCGGUAAGCCGCCGGUUUUAGCUCGAGUAGAGAGGAUAAAAUCCAGACGGUGGGCCAAUCCCAGAAGACAUGGGGUUCGCCGUAUCCCAUGGUCCGAAGUCUCUACUGGCCCAAGGGAUCAGCACUGAAAUUUCGAUCCAUGGCGUUCUCUCGCGAGGGGAACGCGAUUACGAUCUCAAAGUUUUCUAUACUACGGACUCGUUUCGUCUCAGGUGCAGGUUCUUCAAAUUUAAAAGUUAGAUCGGAGCACAACUGCGAACUAGAGAGUUGCGUUGACGUAAUUUGACGACAUCCGAGUUUCCGGGAAGUUUUGUCGCGAUAUUAGAGAAAGGCUGUCGCUUUUUUUCUUAUUGCGCUUAUAUUAUUUAGGGACAUCCGAACCUGGACAUCAACGGACGGAUCACCUGCAUCAGGACUGCAAAAUACCGAAUUCGAAUGUCCACGAUUAUCUCAGGAAUGAACACAGUGAACAAUUCGCGAUUUUCCCCCCCAUACUGAAUUCGUUGUACGAAUCGUCAAGGUGAAACGAAAAAAAUUUUUGGAGGAAAUAUUAUGCAUAUGAUAUCAUUUGAAUUCAAGAGAAUGUCUGCGAGUGGGUUAUUAACGGUAUAAAAAUAGACAGUGAUCGCAGUUAUCUUCAUCCGUUGCGCUUAUGACUGUCUCGCCGUGAUUCAUUCAUAUGUGUUGCAGCACACAACGUACGGCGGAAUGGUAGACGUAUACGUUAGACAGAUCUACCGUGCGAAAAAGGAAUGGCGAAAUAUUUUCGCUCCAGAGAUUUAAACUGAAAAAAAAAAAAAAAAAAAAAAAAAGGAAGAAAAUCCGCCGCCAGAAAUAACUUUACGCUGCACAGUCUACAUGUAUUUUACAACAUCGUAAAGAUAUAGAGAAGAAAUUUUCACGUACGCAUAUCCGGGUGUCAUUGGGUAACCUGGUCUCUGCGACUCUAUUUAAGAACAGUGAACGCCUUGCGCAAAUAUUCGCCAAUCAAUUUCAGGCACACGGUCGCUACACCGGAGUGCUACUAGAUUCGUAAAAGUUGGACUAGCCGAUUUCCAUUCACCUGCAACUCAAGAUCGAAUCUAUUUUUUUAUUCGUGGGCGGUCGGCAUACUGUACCAGAUGAACAGAUUCAAACUACCAAAGACGUCGCGGUACUCCGAACAUUAUCAUGCUCAACCUGCAUCGUCACUUACAAUUAGAUUUGGUGAGGCGUAAAGUUCUUUUCGGUUAACCGACCGAUAAAAGUGGAACUUUAAUAAAUACGGCGGAAAUAUUUAUCGCGUCCAGACGUACAUGAAUAACUUUGGAAAUUUGAAAAAAAACAUAACGUUUUAAUUCAGUCUCUUCCUUAUGAAAUAACGGAUGUUAACAAAGUGUGUGAAUAUCACACAACUAAACGGUAAAUUAUGGUCGCACAUGCAGUGAAGUAAUCGCGUCUACGCAAUGUAAUAUAUAUAUAUAUACAUAUAUAAACGAAACAAUUUUGCUACCAUAAUAAUGGGUGUGACGGAGCCUUCGGCAAACACUUGGCAGACGGUGAACGCCGAUAUAAAGAUUAGCCUGAUAAAAUCAGCAACGGAACCCAACGGGGAAAAGAAGAAAAAAUAAUACGACCAAGAGACACGCAGGCGGAAAAAAUAAACUCACGUCAGAUUUCACACGGGAUUCAAUUGCCAUCGAGCGAUGCGUUCGAUAUAUAUGUUACAUACACACCAUCGCCUAUUUGUACCACAUUCAACACCUCGGGGUACCAGGCGAUCCUGCACGCGCCUAUACGUAUGUGUACAGGCCCUUGUCUCGUCCGUGCCAAGAGUCGAGUUGGACAGGAAAUGAAAACUCGAUUACCAACUUGUGCAAUAAGGUUUCGCGGCUUAGCACGCGUUGAAGUGAAACGGAAGCAAUGGUAGGAACUCGUAAUCAGUUUGAAAUUAUUUUCGAACGUCGUGAUAUUAAUUUAGGCUGAAUCAUAAUUAUUGCACAUCAGUUGACGGCGACGAUAAUAUAAAUGAACGAGAAACGUGACGAGAUAAACGAAUGAACGUAAAUAUACUAUGAUACAUAUCCGUUAUUUUUGUAAUGC